RNAcentral lists this ribosomal RNA (250 nucleotides) under uncultured prokaryote. RNAcentral describes it as "partial 16S ribosomal RNA". It matches the Rfam family "Bacterial small subunit ribosomal RNA", at positions 524 to 773 of the family's 1533-position model. The record is from RNAcentral.
UACGAAGGGGGCGAGCGUUGUUCGGAAUUACUGGGCGUAAAGGGUGUGUAGGCGGAGCAGUAAGAUAGCGGUGAAAUACCUGAGCUUAACUUAGGAAUUGCCGUUAUAGCUAUUGUUCUAGAGUGAUAGAGAGGAUAUUGGAAUACCCAGUGUAGAGGUGAAAUUCGUAGAUAUUGGGUAGAACACCGGAGGCGAAGGCGAGUAUCUGGCUAUCAACUGACGCUGAGGCACGAAAGCAUGGGGAUCAAAC